Molecule: long non-coding RNA, 597 nt
Organism: Cyprinus carpio (common carp)
Lineage: Eukaryota; Metazoa; Chordata; Actinopteri; Cypriniformes; Cyprinidae
Source: RefSeq, a predicted model, not a curated record
CCAGCACACCAGGCUCCACCCAUCCAGGAACCAGCACACCAGGCUCCAUCCAUCCAGGAACCAGCACACCAGGUCUCAGCUGUGCAGCCACCACUGCGGGGUCCACAGCAACGUAAAAGACUACAAAAAAUCAAAGAUUGUCCUCACAAUCGGCUUGAAAUGUUCCCAGUCCGUGAAAUAAUAAAGACAAGGAAAAGAAAGGGGAGGACAGAACAUCUUUAUGACUGGCAGCCCUGCACAAUGUGAUAUGUUAAAUAGCUUUUGGUUAUGUAUGAUUACAUGCAUUUUAUUAUUGGGCUCUUGGAUCUAUCUGUGCCUGGAUCUCUCUGUACUGGCAGAAAGCAUUCACACACCAAUGUGUCCCUGAACAAGAUACUUAACCCCUAGUUGCUCCAGAGGCGUGCGACCUUUGACAUAAACAGCAUUUGUAAGUCGCUUUGGAUAAAAGCAUCAGCUAAAUGAAUAAAUGUAAUGUAAUGUACUGUUUUAAUUUGUGGGGAUUGUUGACAAGCCAUUGUCUUGGGUAGAGAUUAUUAAAGAAAAAUUGUACUGCAAACAGUUUUUGUAUGCUGUUUACAAUUGUGAGGAAACUGAUAU